UUUUAUGGAGAGUUUGAUCCUGGCUCAGGAUGAACGCUGGCGGCGUGCCUAAUACAUGCAAGUCGAGCGAACAGACAAGGAGCUUGCUCCUUUGACGUUAGCGGCGGACGGGUGAGUAACACGUGGGUAACCUACCUAUAAGACUGGGAUAACUUCGGGAAACCGGAGCUAAUACUGGAUAAUAUUUCGAACCGCAUGGUUCGAUAGUGAAAGAUGGUUUUGCUAUCACUUAUAGAUGGACCCGCGCCGUAUUAGCUAGUUGGUAAGGUAACGGCUUACCAAGGCGACGAUACGUAGCCGACCUGAGAGGGUGAUCGGCCACACUGGAACUGAGACACGGUCCAGACUCCUACGGGAGGCAGCAGUAGGGAAUCUUCCGCAAUGGGCGAAAGCCUGACGGAGCAACGCCGCGUGAGUGAUGAAGGUCUUCGGAUCGUAAAACUCUGUUAUUAGGGAAGAACAUACGUGUAAGUAACUAUGCACGUCUUGACGGUACCUAAUCAGAAAGCCACGGCUAACUACGUGCCAGCAGCCGCGGUAAUACGUAGGUGGCAAGCGUUAUCCGGAAUUAUUGGGCGUAAAGCGCGCGUAGGCGGUUUUUUAAGUCUGAUGUGAAAGCCCACGGCUCAACCGUGGAGGGUCAUUGGAAACUGGAAAACUUGAGUGCAGAAGAGGAAAGUGGAAUUCCAUGUGUAGCGGUGAAAUGCGCAGAGAUAUGGAGGAACACCAGUGGCGAAGGCGACUUUCUGGUCUGUAACUGACGCUGAUGUGCGAAAGCGUGGGGAUCAAACAGGAUUAGAUACCCUGGUAGUCCACGCCGUAAACGAUGAGUGCUAAGUGUUAGGGGGUUUCCGCCCCUUAGUGCUGCAGCUAACGCAUUAAGCACUCCGCCUGGGGAGUACGACCGCAAGGUUGAAACUCAAAGGAAUUGACGGGGACCCGCACAAGCGGUGGAGCAUGUGGUUUAAUUCGAAGCAACGCGAAGAACCUUACCAAAUCUUGACAUCCUUUGACAACUCUAGAGAUAGAGCCUUCCCCUUCGGGGGACAAAGUGACAGGUGGUGCAUGGUUGUCGUCAGCUCGUGUCGUGAGAUGUUGGGUUAAGUCCCGCAACGAGCGCAACCCUUAAGCUUAGUUGCCAUCAUUAAGUUGGGCACUCUAAGUUGACUGCCGGUGACAAACCGGAGGAAGGUGGGGAUGACGUCAAAUCAUCAUGCCCCUUAUGAUUUGGGCUACACACGUGCUACAAUGGACAAUACAAAGGGCAGCGAAACCGCGAGGUCAAGCAAAUCCCAUAAAGUUGUUCUCAGUUCGGAUUGUAGUCUGCAACUCGACUACAUGAAGCUGGAAUCGCUAGUAAUCGUAGAUCAGCAUGCUACGGUGAAUACGUUCCCGGGUCUUGUACACACCGCCCGUCACACCACGAGAGUUUGUAACACCCGAAGCCGGUGGAGUAACCAUUUGGAGCUAGCCGUCGAAGGUGGGACAAAUGAUUGGGGUGAAGUCGUAACAAGGUAGCCGUAUCGGAAGGUGCGGCUGGAUCACCUCCUUUCUAA
RNAcentral lists this ribosomal RNA (1556 nucleotides) under Staphylococcus haemolyticus. RNAcentral describes it as "bacterial SSU rRNA". It matches the Rfam family "Bacterial small subunit ribosomal RNA". The record is from RNAcentral. Lineage: Bacteria; Bacillati; Bacillota; Bacilli; Caryophanales; Staphylococcaceae.